GCUCACAUGUAUUAAGUAAGCACACACUCCAUGAGUCUUUGGCAGGUGCUGGGGGUAAGGGUGUCAGAAGAUGAAGUAGACGUGAUCAUCACACUUUAAGAAACUCCUGUCAAGGACAUGGCUUUGAUAUGCUACAGUGGCUGCCCCUCCAACUUCUGAACCUUGGCAUGAGGGCAGCUGCGGUUGUGUUUGUGAUUUGGAUUCCACUGUGUCAGACUUUAGAACCAUGAGUUAUGUGGAGGCAGAAGCAGGUGUGAAACAUCCAUUUUGCUGGUGCUGAUUGUGGCAAAGGCAACGUGAUUCCGGAGCCAGCAGCUGCGGUGGCAGCUUAGCAGCCCUGAAGUUUCUGGAUGGUGGCAGAGACUGCAGCUUGCUUGUCAACCAGUUCCAGAGCGUAAUUUUAGACGUGAAAACCUCAUAUGAGUUGGGACAACACAGGUGAAUCUCGAAAACAUAACAUGGAAAGAAAGAAGUUACCCACAAAAAAGUUCACACUGUGUCAUUCCAUUCAUGUGCUGGUAAAUCAAGAAUAAAUAAGGUGUUGUGCUUCUAUACAAAUGGAAGGCAAGACCCUCCACCAGCAAAAAGAUUACAACUCUAUUUCAGAACUCAGCUUUAUGGCAGUGGUCUGGCUCUGAACCUGCACUAUCUCCAAGGUGUGCUUGUAUAUGAUUUGGAAAUAUUUUCUCUCAUCCCGUGGAUUGUCAUUUCAGUCUUUAGUGGUAUUGUUUGCGGCACAAAAGUUAUAAAUUUUGAUGAAGUUCA
Phyllostomus hastatus (greater spear-nosed bat) is the source of this 765-nucleotide long non-coding RNA. RefSeq lists it as uncharacterized. The transcript has 5 exons. The record is from RefSeq and is a predicted model, not a curated record. NCBI's taxonomy places the organism in Eukaryota, Metazoa, Chordata, Mammalia, Chiroptera, Phyllostomidae.